AUAUAUUUAUGACCUUAAAUUAUCUCCCUUAAGGCCUUUAGACCUUAUCUCCAAAUAAACUCAAGUCAGGGCUUUAUGGCUUCAACAUAUGAAUUUGGCAGUGGGGCACACAAUUGAGUUCAUGACACCCAGUAAUGCAAAAAUCCCAGUAUAUGUUUGUGAAAUGAGGUCUCUGCUUUUUAAAAGCUCAUGAACUGGGAGGAAUUUAGACCCAUGGGUAUGAGGGUAGGAGGGUUGUAGUAGUUCAGAAUCCUGAUACUGGAGGAAAGCACUGAAGUGGGACUUUUUGUGCUUAAGUCUUAAGUCCCAACUCUGCCGCUUAUUAGCCAUAUGGCCUUAGGCAAGUUACUUAACCUCUCCAGUCGAGUAUCCUCAUCUGGGAAAUCAGGAUAACCAAGUAGGUUGGCUGUUAGGAUGAGAUGAGUAUUUUGCAUGGAAGGCCCUUGGCACUGAAUCUGGCAUUCCCUCCUUAGUGCUCAGUCAAUGGCAGUGAUUCUUACUGUUCCUCAGACUUCCCCCAGGUGCCCUUUGCCAGCAGUUCCGUCUCAGUAAGUCCUCACUCUUCCAAAUUUCCUCUGCCCAGCUUCUCAGGACUCAGAAGGCUAGUGGGUAGUUAGAACAUCUUCUGUGUCCAGAGGCGAUGAGGCAAGACGAGGGGAACUGCCCCGUAUCCGCUGGUGAGUCCAGAUGUCAGAGCUUUUGACUUACUCUCAAGACAGGGAGCAGUUAGUACUUUUACCUCUUGCUGAACAGGUCUUCUCCAUCCUAUAACUUUUAAGACAGUUUUGAAAUAAUUUCAAAAUUACAGAAAAGUUUCAAGGGUAGGACAAAGUACAUUUUGCCAUUCAUUCUUUCCCUCCUGCCUUCUGUCCCCGCAUCACCUCUGAAGCGUGACCUAUUUGAGAGUGACUUCCAUACACCUGUCCAUUUACCCCUGAAUAUUUUAGUGUACAUUUCCUGAAUUUCUUAGGAAAUAAGGACAGUUUCUCAUAUGACAAUGACAUAAUUAUCAAAUUCAAGAAAUGUAUAAUUUUAUCUAAUUAGUACAGUAGUAUCUAAUCUUUAGAUACAUGUUUCAUUUUUGUCAGCUAUCCCAAUAAUGUUCAAUAAUGUUUUUGAAAGCUUUUUUUUCCCCUGGUCUAUGAUCCAGUCCAGGAUCACACUGCAUUUUGUUUCCUUUCCUUAGUCUUCUUUAACCUGGAACAAUUCCUUAACCUUUGUCUUAGAAUACUGAUGUUUUUGAAGAGUUCAGCCCAGUUAUGUUGUAGAAUAUCCCUCAAGUUGGUCCCUUACCAUUUGUCUAAAACCUGUAUGAGGUGCCAAACAGAAGCAUUGUAGAACACAGUCUGGCUCUUUCCUUGCGAAUCUUAGGUUUGGAUUUGUGGGGACAGUAGUUAAUCUCUGAUAGGCUCAAAGGACCUGUGUGUGCUCAUGAUUAGGGUUGUGCCAUGCUGACAUGGGUAAACACAUUUUUGAGGAAUGCAGGAUGGGUCUACAUUCUAGACAUCCCCAAAGAUGCAGAAAUGGCCCUGCAUCCUGUCCAUCCUCCAGUCAUCAGCUUGGCUUGGCCUCCUGAGGUGCCCUGAAGUUCAUACUACAGACAGGAAGUCCUGCUUUCAGAAAUCUUGAGCAUCUGCAGUCCUGGGUUCUAACGUGUCCCUCCUGCUGAUCUGCUCUGUGGCCUGGGGCUACUCUCCCAACGCCUCUGGGCCAGUGAUGGGGAGAGGAGCCUGUCCUGGCUCUGCAGAGUGCCCCUGGCACUCCAAACAAGUGUGGGAUAGGGGGAAAGUCACUGAGCCUUGGAGUGUUAGGAAAACAGGCCAGAGGUCUGGACCACGACAAUUUGGAAGCCAAUUUUUUUUUUUUUUUUAAAGAUUUUGUUUAUUUAUUUGACAGAGAGAGAUCACAGUAGACAGAGAGGCAGGAAGAGAGAGGGAGAGAGGGAAGCAGGCUCCCUGCUGAGCAGAGAGCCCGAGGCGGGACUCGAUCCCAGGACCCUGAGAUCAUGACCUGAGCCGAAGGCAGCGGCCCAACCCACUGAGCCACCCAGGUGCCCCUGGAAGCCAAUUUGGAUCAUCUUCUUUGUGAUCUGGCAAGCAGAUCAUCAGACCUGGAACUUUGUUUCCAGCUGUCGGACAGGGUCAGAAACAGUGAAUUGUAAUCUGUUCAAGCAAUCAUACAGCAUCAGGGAACUUUCACAUUAGUUGUGGGUAUUUUGUCAGACCAAAGCAGACAAGGCAAGUAUGUUUUAAGUGUCAGUGACCUCCACAAGACUGGCCAAGCAAACUUUCAAGGUGAGAAACAAAAUAAAAUUGAUUUUCAUCUUACCGUUAAGUCAACGCCCUUGUCUGCUUUAACGCUUGCAUUAACACUACAGCAUGUUCUCCCUGGGGAUGCAGACAUUUGUGUGAGAGACACAGAAUCUCCUGCCUUUUUGAAUGUGAAUUCAUUAAAAUUAAAUAAAAUUUAAACUUCAGUUCCUCAGUUGAAUUGGUAACAUUUAAAGGGCUCGGCAGCUACAUGUGGUUAGUGAUUACCGUAUUGGACAGUGCAGAUCUAGAACGUCAUCAUAGUUCUGAUGGACAGCACUGCACUGCACAUAACAAUCUGGGAAGCGGGGACACUUCCUUCUGUGACGGAUGACAGACUUGGUCACAGGGAAAAUUUGACAAAUUGUGAAGUGAGCUUUUAAAUAUGACUGCAAGCUGUUGGCAUUGUAUCUUUGGGGGUGCUGGAUUGAAUCAGAGGUAUGCUGGAAAGAUUUAUGGAGUUUUUACGUUUUCUGUCUGGUAGCUCAGAGCUCUGUUAAGUUAGUUCCCAUGUCAUGGUACUAUAGCUAGGUUUUAAAGAGAAUGUAACCAAGCUGAAUUCACUGAGGUGGUGAUUUCAGCCAGUGCAUUGGGUCUUAACAUUUAACAGGCCCUCCAUAGCCUCAGAGCCUUGAGUCCAGGGGCCAGGUGCAGGAGCCCAGUUUCUAGCUGUCGGGGUACUUCAGGUGGGAAGGGGACCUCAUUCUCAUUGCUGAGGCAGCGCCACUAAGGACCCUGGGCUGGGUGUCGGGCUAAGAUAUCUGGUGGUAGGUUCUAGAGCAGGGCAGGAGGCUGCGACUCACUCACAUGAAUGAUAAACGUCUGGAUUAAUAUUAUUUCUGCACUCAAACAUCUGAUGAAGACAUCCAGAGCUAAGUUCCUAGGCUAAACCUUGUCUCACUGUUCCUCGAAGUGUGGGUCAUGGGGAGGGGUUGAUAAGUGUCUCUGAGCUUCCAGGACCCAGCCCACAACUGUUGAGGAAGCCUCACAGCCGGCUGUGCACAAGUGGGGACAUCCGUGUCUGUGUGAAAGUGCCUGUGUGCCUGUGGGUCCUUGCUUCUGUGUGUGCCUGUCCCCGCCUCCUGGCCACUAAGCAGAGGAGGGGAAGCUGAAUAAGCUGAGGUCCACGCUGCUGCCUCUGCUCCAGCUAGGAUGUGGCUCUUCCACACUCUGCUCUACAUAACCAGCCUUGCUCCUCUGGUGGCCUUCAAUGUGGAUGAGGCCCAGAUCUGGGUGACUCCUGAGGGAGACACACCCUAUGUGCUCAGCUCCCUUCUGCACCAAGACCCCAGCACCAACAAGACCUGGCUCCUGGUCACCGGCCCUCAAACCAAGGAGGAAGAAGGCCUCCUGCAUUGUUGUACCCUCAUCCAAGAUAAGAUCUCUUGCGAAAGAGUAGAGACUGUCCCCAUCCCAAAGGGGAGGUACCGGGGAGUGACAGUUGUUCGGAACUACCACAGUGUUUUGAUCUGCAUUCAAGUGCGGACCCCGCAGCCCCACAGUCUCAGCUCAGAACUCACAGGGACCUGCAGCCUACUAUCCAACAACUUCCAAAACCACACCCAAGUCCACUUCUCCAACCUUGAAAAUCUGGAUCCCAGUGCACACGUGGAUGACAGAGAGUGCUACAGGAACAAGAAAGGCAACACAGAGAAGCCAGCCAGGUGGCGCCGGGCUCUGAAGAUACAGGAGGAGGAGGAGGAGGAGGAGGAAGCUGGCACUGAGAUUGCCAUCAUCCUGGAUGGCUCAGGAAGCAUUGACCCCCCAGACUUCCAGAGAGCCAAAGACUUCAUCUCCAACAUGAUGAAGAACUUCUAUAAGAAGUGCUUUCAGUGCAGCUUUGCCCUGGUGCAAUACGGGGCAGUGAUCCAGACUGAGUUUGAUCUUCGGGAUAGCCAGGAUGUGAGCGCCUCCCUCGCCAGAGUCCAGAACAUCACUCAAGUGGGGAGUGUCACCAAGACUGCUUCUGCCAUGCAGCAUGUCCUAGACAACAUCUUCACGCCAAGCCACGGCUCCAGAAAAAAGGCAUCCAAGGUCAUGGUGGUACUCACUGAUGGGGACAUAUUUGAGGACCCACUCAACCUUACUACUGUCAUCAAUUCCCCAAAGAUGCAAGGUGUUGAGCGCUUUGCCAUUGGGGUGGGAGAGGCAUUUGAGAAGAAUAGGACCUACAGUGAACUGAAGCUGAUCGCCUCAGACCCUGAUGACAGAUACGCCUUCAAGGUGACCAACUACACAGCACUGGAUGGACUGCUGAGUAAAUUGCAGGAGAAUAUCAUUCAGAUGGAAGGCACGGUUGGAGAGGCCCUCCACUACCAGCUGGCACAGAUCGGGUUCAGUGCCCAGAUCCUUGAUAAGGGGCAGGUACUGCUCGGUGCCGUGGGGGCCUUCAACUGGUCGGGGGGUGCGCUACUCUACGACAUGCACAGCCGCCGGGGUCGCUUCCUGAACCACACUGAGGCGGAUACCGAGAAUGCGCAGUACAGCUAUCUAGGUUAUGCAGUGGCCCUACUGCACAAGGCCUGUGGCCUCUCCUAUGUGGCGGGGGCUCCACGGUACAAGCAGCGGGGAGCCGUGUUUGAGCUCUGGAAGGAGGGCAGAGAGACCAACUUCGUGCCAGUACUGGAGGGAGAGCAGAUGGGAUCCUAUUUUGGCUCUGAGCUGUGCCCUGUGGACAUUGACAUGGAUGGGACCACGGACUUCUUGUUGGUGGCUGCUCCAUUUUACCACAUUCACGGAGAGGAAGGCAGAGUGUAUGUGUACUGUCUGAAUGAGCAGAAUGGUUCCUUCUCCUUGGCAUACACUCUGAGUGGGCACCCUGGAUUCACUAAUGUCCGGUUUGGCUUUGCCAUGGCAACAAUAGGGGAUAUCAGUCAGGAUAACCUCACAGAUGUGGCCAUUGGGGCCCCCCUGGAGGGUUUUGAGGCAACUGAUGGCAACAGCUUCGGCAGCGUGUACAUCUACAAUGGACGCCAGGAUGGUCUUUCUACCAGCCCCUCUCAGCGGAUCAAAGCCUCAGCGGUGGCCUCAGGACUCCACUACUUCGGCAUGUCAGUGGCUGGUGGCUUAGAUUUGACUGGUGACCGCCUUCCUGACAUCACCGUGGGCACCCUGGGCCGGGCAGCUGUGCUCCGCUCAAGACCUGUGGUUUACCUGAAGGUGUCCAUGACCUUUACCCCUAUGGCACUGCCCAUUGGCUUCAACAGCAGUGUGAAUGCUCAUUUGUGUUUUGAAACCAACCCUAUGACCACAGUUGCUAACUCAGGCUUCAGAGAGACAUUUCUGAACUUCACAGUGGAUGUGGAUGUGGUGAAGCAGAGGAAAAGGCUGCAGUGUUCAGACAAGAGUAAUUGUCAGAGCCACCAUCGGGAGUGGGACACCAGUAUGUCCCAGCUUUGUGAGUCCCUCCUGCUUAUUCCCACAGAGGGAGAGCUCUGUGAGGAGGACUGCUUCUCCAACAUCAGUGUCAGCAUCAGCUACCAACUCCAGACCUCAGAAGGCCAGAGGGACCAUCCCCAACCCGUUUUGGACUUCUACACUAAACCCUUCACCAUCUUCCAGCUGCCCUAUGAGAAGAACUGCAAGAAUAAAUUGUUUUGUGUUGCUGAGUUACAGAUGGCCACCACUAUCUCUCAGCAGGAAUUGGUGGUUGGUCUCACAAAGGAGCUGACUAUGAACAUUAACCUAACUAACUCUGGGGAAGAUUCCUACAUGACGACCAUGAAUUUGAAUUACCCCAGAAACCUCCAGUUUAAAAGGAUACAAAAGCCUCCUUCUCCAGACAUUCAGUGUGAUGACCCGAAGCCAAAUGCUUCUGAGCUGGCCAUGAACUGCAAGAUUGGUCACCCUGUACUCAAGAGGUCAUCUGCAAACUUUUCAGUAGUUUGGCAGCUAGAGGAGAAUGUCUUUCCCAACAGGACAGCCGAUAUCACUGUGACAGUCACCAAUUUCAAUGACAGAAAUUCUUCAGUCAAACAGAGCCACAGCCUUCAAUUCAAGCAUGCCUUCAUCGCAGUUCUUCCGAAACCUUCAGUGAUGUACAUGAACACAAGCCAGGGGCUUUCUGUCUACAAAGAAUUCCUCUUCAAUAUACAUGGGGAAAAUCUCUUUGGAGCUGUAUUCCAGCUGCAAAUUUGUGUUCCAAUCAAAUUACAAGGUCUCCAGUUUAUAAGAGUGAAAAACCUGACAAAGAUUCAGGUACAAUACAGCCCUUGCAACCAUCUGCCUCCUCGUCCAUCUGGGCAGCCCCUUGAGACCCAAUCUCUUGACAGGAGUCCUGGUCUGUGGCCCUCUUCUUAUCGAUGCUUGAUAAACCUGGCCUCUCCAACCUCUUCCCAGCCCAUUCCCUUUCACAGCAAGACUCCCUCAUAUUCUUCCCAUCUGCCGCAAACUCAGAAUCUUCAGGGUUUCCAGAGUCCAUAAGACUAAAGAGAGCUGACCUGAGGCUGGCGUGGGCUUGGUGGGCCAGUCUGGUGAACCUGCUUCCUCCCGCUGCUGCCUCCUGGAAGCCAUGGAGGGAUGUUGGGUCCGGGGAGGCUGCUGGGAGAUGGAAGCCGCUCGGGACUUCGGAGGCCGCAUCCAGAGAGGCGGAGGGGCCAGGGCCGGGAGAGGCCAGACUGUUGAACAGGGAGGCACUGGUGCCCAGCUCGCCGCCGUCCUCGGGCUGGUCGCAUGUACUGAGGUCCGGGCUGAGGCGGCCUGGGUUGCCCUUAGGAAAGGGCGGCGGUCCAAGCGGGCCGCAGGGGGUGCUGCACUUCUGCGGAGGCCGAGCUCGCAGCCUCAGGCGUCGUGGAGUCACGAUCAGACUCGGCCAGUCCUUGGAGGCUUGGCCGCCAGGGCGCCUCCGCCGCUGACUUACCGGAACGUCGAGGAAGUCAGGGUCGUCGGGAUCGUCGGAAGCGAUAGACCCCGAGGGACCGUCGCUGCUACUACUGCUGCUGCUGAAAAAACGCUUCCGGUCUUGCGGCGGGAACCACUGCGCGACUGCCCGGUCCGGCCGCCGCCGCGGCCUCCCGCCGCCCACAGCCCCAUACGUUCGGAAGAGGCGAUUCCCGAGUCGCUGGCGUGACGCCGCCAUGGUCGGCACCCGCCCGGAGAUUCAAAUGCAAACACCGCGAGACUUCCUUAAGACAGACGCACGGGCGGGCCUGACUGCUGGGUCCUAGCGCCCGGCCGUGAGCAUGCGCAUCACAACGGGUCCCGCGGGAGGCGGGUGACUGGCAAUUUGGCAUCUUCUUAUCCGUACUGUCAUGGCUCUCGUUUCAGGCCAACACUAAGUGCAACUCCAGUCUGGAGAAAGAAUGUGGGAAAGACCCCGUUUGGUAUGUGGACCAAUGGUAUUCAGUGAACUGCACCAUCACUUCAAAUAAAGAAAAUGUAACGGUGGCUGCAGAGCUCUCCUUGAAUCAGUCUCAG
Molecule: RNA transcript, 7724 nt
Organism: Mustela lutreola (European mink)
Lineage: Eukaryota; Metazoa; Chordata; Mammalia; Carnivora; Mustelidae
Gene: ITGAE
Gene name: integrin subunit alpha E
Exons: 28
Source: RefSeq, a predicted model, not a curated record